RNAcentral lists this ribosomal RNA (468 nucleotides) under uncultured bacterium. RNAcentral describes it as "partial 16S ribosomal RNA". It matches the Rfam family "Bacterial small subunit ribosomal RNA", at positions 28 to 507 of the family's 1533-position model. The record is from RNAcentral.
GACGAACGCUGGCGGCGUGCUUAACACAUGCAAGUCGAACGGAAAGGCCCUGCUUUUGUGGGGUGCUCGAGUGGCGAACGGGUGAGUAACACGUGAGUAACCUGCCCUUGACUUUGGGAUAACUUCAGGAAACUGGGGCUAAUACCGGAUAGGAGCUCCUGCUGCAUGGGGGGGGUUGGAAAGUUUCGGCGGUGGGGGAUGGACUCGCGGCUUAUCAGCUGGUUGGUGGGGUAGUGGCUUACCAAGGCUUUGACGGGUAGCCGGCCUGAGAGGGUGACCGGCCACAUUGGGCCUGAGGUACGGCCCAGACUCCUACGGGAGGCAGCAGUGGGGAAUAUUGCACAAUGGGCGGAAGCCUGAUGCAGCAACGCCGCGUGCGGGAUGACGGCCUUCGGGUUGUAAACCGCUUUCGCCUGUGACGAAGCGUGAGUGACGGUAAUGGGUAAAGAAGCACCGGCUAACUACGUG